AUUGAACGCUGGCGGCAGGCUUAACACAUGCAAGUCGAGCGGGGUGAUGGUGCUUGCACUAUCACUUAGCGGCGGACGGGUGAGUAAUGCUUAGGAAUCUGCCUAUUAGUGGGGGACAACAGCUCGAAAGGGAUGCUAAUACCGCAUACGUCCUACGGGAGAAAGCAGGGGAUCACUUGUGACCUUGCGCUAAUAGAUGAGCCUAAGUCGGAUUAGCUAGUUGGUGGGGUAAAGGCCUACCAAGGCGACGAUCUGUAGCGGGUCUGAGAGGAUGAUCCGCCACACUGGGACUGAGACACAGCCCAGACUCCUACGGGAGGCAGCAGUGGGGAAUAUUGGACAAUGGGGGGAACCCUGAUCCAGCCAUGCCGCGUGUGUGAAGAAGGCCUUAUGGUUGUAAAGCACUUUAAGCGAGGAGGAGGCUCUUUUGGUUAAUACCCAAGAUGAGUGGACGUUACUCGCAGAAUAAGCACCGGCUAACUCUGUGCCAGCAGCCGCCGUAA
This 503-nucleotide ribosomal RNA is filed under the name uncultured bacterium. RNAcentral's name for it is "partial 16S ribosomal RNA". It matches the Rfam family "Bacterial small subunit ribosomal RNA", at positions 30 to 523 of the family's 1533-position model. The record is from RNAcentral.